RNAcentral lists this ribosomal RNA (301 nucleotides) under uncultured bacterium. RNAcentral's name for it is "partial 16S ribosomal RNA". It matches the Rfam family "Bacterial small subunit ribosomal RNA", at positions 509 to 807 of the family's 1533-position model. The record is from RNAcentral.
CAGUAGCCGCGGUAAUACGAAGGGGGCUAGCGUUGUUCGGAAUCACUGGGCGUAAAGCGCACGUAGGCGGAUUUUUAAGUCAGGGGUGAAAUCCCGAGGCUCAACCUCGGAACUGCCUUUGAUACUGGAAAUCUUGAGUCCGGGAGAGGUGAGUGGAACUGCGAGUGUAGAGGUGAAAUACGUAGAUAUUCGCAAGAACACCAGUGGCGAAGGCGGCUCACUGGCCCGGAACUGACGCUGAGGUGCGAAAGCGUGGGGAGCAAACAGGAUUAGAUACCCCGGUAGUCCCUGUCUCUUAUAC